CUUAUUCUUAAAUAUCCAUUAAGGAUGUAACUCUGACUCCUUUGGCCAUACAGUGUUCCUUGUUAUGCUCGGCAAAAGAAAAUAAUUAUAAAAAAGCAAAGUCAUUACAGUGAUCAAUUGCAGCUGGUUUUAUUAUUAAAAAGGAGUAAAUUAAGCAAAGAAGCCUCAUGAACUGUGUACAGUAAUCAUAGAUUGGAAACAUUUAAGAAGUAUAUACUGUACUUGCUAUGGCCUUAUGCAAAGCACUCCAUUAUUUCAUAAAGACUUCAGUCUGUGUUUUACUUUUGUGAAUUUCUCUCUAACAAUAGCAUGCCUAAACUUCAGAUGAGUUAUCAAAAAUUUAGGUUUAUGUAUGAAUAAAGAAGGAGGAGAAAAGUGUAGCUUUUGUUGGGUGGUCUUAGCAGAUCAGUUCUCCAGAUCCCUAAGAAGAUGUGAAUUAUCACAUGGGUUUGUUUGUUUGUUUGUUUGUUUUGUAACUGUGUGUUGGGAUUCUUAAUUUUUUCAGGAGACUCUCUUUGCUGGGUGUUGUAUCCCGGCACUAGGGAGUGCCAGUGUGAUGUGAAGAGAGAGGAUGCAGCACAGCAGGGCUUGGGACACCGGGGAGGGACAGAGGCAGAGACAGUGCCCCAGCUUUGUGUGCAGCUCCGUGUGUACCGGAGGGCUGGCUGCGUGCAUUCAUCAGGCAGCGCUGGAGGGGAUUUGGCUGGGAAAGAUGAGCCAUCUGUGCAGGCUGAUAUGGAGACAGAGGAGAAAGAAUAGACAGAAUGGUGAUUCUUCACCUUCUCCAGGCCUGUGUUGGGUGAUUUGAAGCCUGCUGAGCAAAGGCUUGUCUUAUCUUUGUCACCUGUCAUGGACAUCAGUGGAGUACUCUGUGGAGUGUGGUCUGAAAAUCACUAGGUACCUUAAAGAGUGGUGAUUAUGGUGAAGAAAAAGUUCAAAAACUGAAGGUUUUGGAUUCCUUUAGAGUGAUGAAGUAAUCUACAUUAUUUGUAGGCACUUGUUUUUAAUGCCAGACUUCCAUUUUUGCUCAGUUGUUAGAAAGGAAGAAAGCAGAAAAAGGAGUAUUUUGGGAAAAGCAGGCGAUGGUGGGAAGACUGACUAAUUCUUCUUCUAUUGGCUCCUGCAUAGCAAUUUUCCAAGCCAGCCAAGGAUGAGACAGCUUCGCUUUGCUGCAAUGUUGAUGCUCAGCUUUUUGCAAUAAAACUAGAUGUCAAACUGGAAAUCCACCUGUUCUACAAGCAGACUUCAGUUUUCAAAGGCAGUUUCUGCAGAGUGAGCUUGCAUGAGGACUGGACCCUGAAAGAAAUUUCUCAGCCUUGGCCUUUACCAAGGAAUAGUUUAGGUUUGGAGGCCUUUAAGACUCCAAUCUUUCUGCAGCACAAGCAGUGGACAUGGAGCUGAACUUGCUGUAGUUUAUGGCUUUACAGCACGUGCACAAACUCCAUUUCUACAAACUGGAGUCAUUGUAAUGGACAGAUGCUCUGGAGAGUUGAGGAUGGGAGAUUUGUUCCCAAGCUCACAGGAAAUAUCAAUUCGGCCCCAGAACUUGGUGAUCUAUAGGUCCUGCUAGUCUACCCUCAGCUCCCAAAACAGUUAAGUUAAAAGUUAAGCUACAUACUGGUUUCAGUGUCUUUUGUUCAUCUGUUGAUUAUUGUGGUUGGAUUUCUGCCCUUUGUGGCUGUUUUCUGGAGACUACUGAUAUGAAUGCAGCCAUUCUAGACAGAAGAUCAGGAAAAGCUUUUUAAAAUAAGCCCAUCUCUGACCCAUGUGCUGAUAAAAGGCUCAUGCAGUCACUGUGAAGAGUUGCAAUAAAAAAAUAUUAUAAAGGUAGCAGCAGGAGACAACAGGACAGGGACAAAGGCACACAAGGCAGGAGGAGGACUGCUGUGCCUUCUCUCUGCUGUAUUGUGCAGCAGUGGAAGCCAGCAGCUGCAGUGAGGUCUGGUAAUGCUAUUUGCUUUUCUGAGAUUUUUUUCCCCUCAACUUGCUGUUAUAACAACCCCACUGGGUUGUUACUGGACACUUUGAGGGCUAAGCUGGGGCAGAAAGUUGCCAGUCGAGGUCAGCCCUUGACCAAGGGUGCACCCUUGUGGCUGGCAGUGCUCUGUGAGGGCAGGAGACACACUGAUGAUGCAGGAGACACCUGAAGAAGCCUCACACUGGAGGGACCUGCAGUUCUGCCUAAGGAGGAGGUGCAAGGUGGCCAGUGGUGGGCUAAAAGUGCUAAUUCCAGGCUCGUGUGGCUGCGUGCUGCAGAGCAGGUAGGGCCCUGCAGGGCAGUGUGGGGUCCAUACAGGGCAGCAGCGGGUCUGACUCAGGCUGCUGCAGGGAUUGCACACAGCGCCUCUGAGGGCGAGCAGCACAGUCUGC
This is a long non-coding RNA of Cyanistes caeruleus (blue tit), 2370 nucleotides long. RefSeq lists it as uncharacterized. The record is from RefSeq and is a predicted model, not a curated record. Lineage: Eukaryota; Metazoa; Chordata; Aves; Passeriformes; Paridae.